This 106-nucleotide small nuclear RNA is filed under the name Castor canadensis (American beaver). The record is from RNAcentral. Lineage: Eukaryota; Metazoa; Chordata; Mammalia; Rodentia; Castoridae.
AUGUUCACUUAAGUAGCACAUGUACUGAAAAUGGAAUGGUACAGAGAAGACUAACAUGGCCCUGCACAAGGAUGACAUGAAAAUUCCUGAAGCAGUACAUAUUUUU